Acanthosepion pharaonis is the source of this 109-nucleotide non-coding RNA. The record is from the annotation of a GenBank genome assembly. NCBI's taxonomy places the organism in Eukaryota, Metazoa, Mollusca, Cephalopoda, Sepiida, Sepiidae.
UUAUGGCCAUAUCAUAUUGAAAUACCAGUUCUCAUUCAAUCACCAAAGUUAAGCAAUGCGAAGCCUGGUCAGUACAUAGAUUGGUAACCACUCAGGAAUACCAGGUGCU